GAUGAACGCUGGCGGCGUGCCUAAUACAUGCAAGUCGAGCGAACAGACGAGGAGCUUGCUCCUCUGACGUUAGCGGCGGACGGGUGAGUAACACGUGGAUAACCUACCUAUAAGACUGGGAUAACUUCGGGAAACCGGAGCUAAUACCGGAUAAUAUAUUGAACCGCAUGGUUCAAUAGUGAAAGACGGUUUUGCUGUCACUUAUAGAUGGAUCCGCGCCGCAUUAGCUAGUUGGUAAGGUAACAGCUUACCAAGGCAACGAUGCGUAGCCGACCUGAGAGGGUGAUCGGCCACACUGGAACUGAGGCACGGUCCAGACUCCUACGGGAGGCAGCAGUAGGGAAUCUUCUGCAAUGGGCGAAAGCCUGACGGAGCAACGCCGCGUGAGUGAUGAAGGUCUUCGGAUCGUAAAACUCUGUUAUUAGGGAAGAACAAAUGUGUAAGUAACUAUGCACGUCUUGACGGUACCUAAUCAGAAAGCCACGGCUAACUACGUG
RNAcentral lists this ribosomal RNA (497 nucleotides) under uncultured bacterium. Its description in RNAcentral is "partial 16S ribosomal RNA". It matches the Rfam family "Bacterial small subunit ribosomal RNA", at positions 28 to 507 of the family's 1533-position model. The record is from RNAcentral.